Molecule: ribosomal RNA, 301 nt
Filed under: uncultured bacterium
Lineage: Bacteria
Description: partial 16S ribosomal RNA
Rfam family: Bacterial small subunit ribosomal RNA
Source: RNAcentral
CAGUCGCCGCGGUAAAACGUAGGGUGCAAGCGUUAAUCGGAAUUACUGGGCGUAAAGCGUGCGCAGGCGGUUAUAUAAAACAGAUGUGAAAUCCCCGGGCUCAACCUGGGAACUGCAUUUGUGACUGUAUAGCUAGAGUACGGCAGAGGGGGAUGGAAUUCCGCGUGUAGCAGUGAAAUGCGUAGAUAUGCGGAGGAACACCGAUGGCGAAGGCAAUCCCCUGGGCCUGUACUGACGCUCAUGCACGAAAGCGUGGGGAGCAAACAGGAUUAGAUACCCGGGUAGUCCCUGUCUCUUAUAA